Long non-coding RNA from Dama dama (fallow deer), 10675 nucleotides. RefSeq lists it as uncharacterized. Lineage: Eukaryota; Metazoa; Chordata; Mammalia; Artiodactyla; Cervidae. The transcript has 3 exons. The record is from RefSeq and is a predicted model, not a curated record.
CAGAGGGCAGUGAGAAGUAGCAGGUUCCCCUGCUUGCUCGCUUACUGGGGGGUGGGAGGUGGGCAAGCUUGUUCCUUAUGUGGGGUGACAGUAGGGGUUGUCCAGGCGUGGGACUGCAGGGUGGUUUGCCCACCCCUCAGGUGCUGUUGUGAGCAGGGCGCAUGCGGGCUACCCUGCUUUUGCUCCCAAUCCCCUGCUUUUGUUCCUGGCUUUUCAGAGGUGAUAACUAAGGGGUGGUUUGGUGGUUUUUUGUGUUUUUUUGGUAUCUUUUGUCCAGAAUUUACCCCAACUGUGCAUGCAUGGAGUUAUUUUUAGUGCCAUAGAGUUUCUUUGUGUUUUGUUGCUGGGGGAGAGGUGUGUCCAGGUGCAAGUAUUGCAGAAAAGGGUCCAGAGUCCAAGCCUGUCUCACUUCCCACUGAGAGACUCUACACCCUUAUCCUUAAGGGGUAAGGGACUGACGGUCUCUUCUGAAACUUCAUCCUGCUGGUCUUCCCGGAGACCCUAGGUUUCCCUAGAGGUGUAGAAGUCCCUUGCUGACUGUUCCAAGGACUUGUAGGGACCUGAAUCACCCUCCACGGAAAUGGGUUGAACUCCUUGAGUCAUCAUGAGCCUUACUGCAAACUUUGGAGCCUAGUAGACACAAACUUAAUCAAAAGGUUAAACAAACAAGGGCUAGAAAGAAGAACAACAAUAAAAGGGCCUAGACGGGGAAGGAAUCAGGUGAACUUUGAGAGGGCUCCCUUGACUGUUGACCAGUCAGUGGAUGACGUCACCCCUGCCAUGAAGUCAUUCUGCUUGGGUGUAUAUUUUUGUUUAUAUCAGGAUUAAAAUUGAACAUGUUUCUCUACUUUUAGAAUGGGAGAUCUGGCCCUGUUGGUUCCAGGUCUCCUUCUUGGACUGAAAAGUCACAAGUUUUCGACACUUGGGAAGACAAGGGAGCACUAGAGGAAAUAUGGCACAAAUCAACAUUGACUGAAAAGAAAAGGGUUAUGAAAACAUGAAAACCUCCUGACAGAAAGCUUUUUAUACCUUGUAGGAUCCAGGAGAACAAACAAGCAGACCAGUUUUCAGUUUCCCCACCUGUAUUGAGUAACAGGAUUGGAGAUUGAUUGUCUGCUGAGGCCAAAUGGCUUUUCCCAGUGUUGGUUUCUCCCUGGUAUGGGCCUCAGAGCUGUUUUUUUCACCUCCCAAUCUGCCCUGCUGUUCCCUUGGAUAAAUUGAGAAUUUUCGUUUUGCUGCCCAUGGCUUAGGCCUAAAAUAGCUUGUUUUCCAAUCUGGAGAUAGCCGUCUACUUCCAGGGUUUAUAACAUAUCUCAGAUAUUUGACUUGUUGUUUUGAGAGGUGUGCCUUCAUUUGGGAGAACCUGUGAACCCAGGUCUCAAGGAAAUUAAGGACUUCAGUGGUAUUCUGAUCUGAGGCCUCCAUGGUGGGAUUACAUAUUAAUAAGCUGUCUACAUAGUGUAGAAUAGCCUCUUCUUUUAGGUGUAUUUCCCUCAGUUCUCUUCCUAGGGCCUGGGCAAACAAGUGUGGGCGGCCUUGAAAACCCUGAAGCUGUGCUGUCCAGGUAUAUUGUCGCAUUCGACUCCACUGGGGGUUAGUUCACUCAAAGGCAAACAGAUCCUGAGAGGAGGGAGAAAUGGGAUUCAAAAGAGGGCACUCCUGAGGGCAAGCACAGUAAACCGCUUGGCUUCUCCAGGAAUCUGGACUAAUGCAAGGACUGGCCAUGUGGGGACUUACAGGGACCCCCACCUUGGGUACAGUUCUAAGGCCUUGUGUGAUUCGAUAUUCCCCCAUUGACUUAACAACUGGCAGAAUUAGGAUACUGCGUGGGGCUUUCCUGGUGGCUCAGACAGUGAAGAAUCUGCCUGCAAUGCAGGAGACCCCAGUUCGAUCCCUGGCUUGGGAAGAUCCCCUGGAGAAGGGAGCGGUUACCCACUCCAGCAUUCUUGCCUGGAGAAUUCCAUGGACAGAGGAGCCUGGCAGGCUACCGUCCAUGGAGUCGCAGAGUCAGACACAACUGAGAGACUAACACUUGUUCACUGUGGAGACAGAUGGGGUACUAAGAGGCCAUGUUUUAAGAAUUUAUCUGUGAGGGGUUGCAAACUUUUUUUGCUUCCAACUUUAUGUCUUGUUAGUGGCUUCUGGCUUAAGGUUAAUUUUUACAGGUUGGACAUAGACUUCCUAAGGAUUCUUUCACCCCAAACUACAGGGAAUAGGACCUUGCUCUUCUGAGUGAUCUUUCUUAUUCAGAGUCAAGAACAGGGGCUGCCUGGGGUCUCCUAAUUGUCAUAUGGCUGAGAGGGAGCCGUAUUAUGGUCUCUCCCCAGUAGUGGUGAGAACUUCCCUGGUUGCUCAGAUGGUAAAGUGUCUGCCUACAAUGUGGGAGACCCAGGUUCGAUCCCUGGGUCAGGAAGAUCCUCUGGGAAAGGAAAUGGCAACCCACUCCAGUGCUCUUGCCUGGAGAAUCCCGUGGGCAGAGGAGCCUGGUGGGCUACAGUCCAUGGGGUCGCAGAGAGCCGGACACGACUGAGUGAAUAAACUUCCCAGUAGUGGGGCAGGAAGCUCAGGCACAGCUCCAGAGGUGUGUGUUCAGCUGGCAAGUGAGAGGCCCGGGGAAGUAGCAGCUUCAGGGUUUUCCAUCAACAGCAGUUACUGUGCAGGUUUUAGAGGAAAGAGGUCCAGAGGGAGAAAUCAGGACAGAGUAAGUGGCUCCCGUAUUGAUUUAAAAAGUCAGUCUUAAAAAAUAAAUAAAUAAAUAAAUAAAAAGUCAGCUUUCUUACCUGCCACGUCAAGGACCACCCAGGGCUUCUUGAUGGAGAUGGACAGCUCGCUGAGGGGGGUCACCAGAAUCCCCAAGCAGCCUGAGUCAUCCAGCACGGCUGCCUCGGGAGUGGGAGCCCCCUUCCCCUUUGGGACUGGGGAUAGUCCCACCUCCAGUGACCGUAUGCAGACUGGGCAUGGACCAGGGGCUUCUUUUUGGCACUUUUGGCCCAGUGGCCGGUUGACUUAUAUUUGAAGCAUUCCCCCCUGCUGGUUUUACCUCCAGGAGGAUGGUUAAACUUCCAUGGCCUCUUUGGGUUGUCCUGAGGUUGCAAGGCAUAGCUAACAGCCAUGGUCCUCAGUUUAGCUUGAGCCCUGGCCAGCCUAUUUGCACGUCAGUUUCUCUCUUCCUCCUUGGUUUGAUCUGGAUUAUUAAAUACCCCAGAGGUCUCCUCUAGGAGUUGGGGCAUCGGGGUCUGUGGGCCGAAUUGUAACUUUUGGAGUUUCUGCCUGCUGUCAGGGGCAGAAUGGCUGAUUAAAUGUUGUCCCAGCAGGGACUGACCCUCAGGAAUGGAUGGAUUGAGGUCAGUAGGUUUUUUUUAAAAACCACAAGCCAUCCCUGAAAGAGGGCUGGAUUUUCUUUUUUCUUCUUGGGUUGCUCCUUUGACCUUUUCAGAGUUAACUGGCUUCUUGAUGCACUUGCUCACCCCUUCUAAUACACACUGUAGUGUGCUCCCUGGCUUCUUGUUCCCUCCUGGGAAUUAUAAUACCCUCGGGAUUCCCGAUUUGAGACUGCGUCUCCACCCAUAACAAAGCGUUCGGGUUGGUGCCUGGUCCGUGUGCCCCUGGGCUGCUGCCCAAAUUCUCUGUUUUUCCUCAAGGGUACAGCAAGUAGAUAAGACUAUUUGGACACUCUUCCAAGUUAAAGGCCAGAGUUAGGGCCUGUUUCUUCUGACUUAGAAGAGGAUCCUUCCAUGUUGAUUAACCUGCAACUAAGAACGCUUCUAGAAAUGAAAUCCAUCCUGGAGACAUUUACCAGGAGGCUAUUAUCAGAAGAGGGUCGGGGUGUCCUCUGAAUUCCCUUCUUACCUAGUGAGACUUGGGGCAUCGUCUACUCUCCCUUGGAUUCCCUGGUGCCUCAGACAGUAAAGAGUCUGCCCUCAGUGCGGGAGGCCCGGGUUCUAUCCCUGGGUCAGGAAGAUCCCCUGGAGAAGGAAAUGGCAACCCGCUCCAGUAUUCUUGCCUGGAAAAGCCCAUGGAUGGAGGAGCCUGGCGGGCUCCAGUCCAUGGGGUCCCAAAGAGUCCGACACAACAGAGUGACUAACACUUUCACUUUCUUUCACUCCUGGUUUAGGCAUUUAGUCCUAAACAGGGACUCCACUGGUCUCAUGCAAGCCAGGCAGGUGGUCACCCUGGCCUGGAUCUGAGCCCUGACAUUGCCGUGAGUUCUACAUGACUUUGCGCAAAGCUGUUCCUUCUAUGCAAAGUUCCUCCCUGGCUGGGGCUCCUCUAAUGAAUUCCUGUGGGACGAUGAUGCCCACAUUCUCCUCUGCAGAGCCCUCUAUUUCCUCCCCUCCCCUGAGCACUAAGAAAAGAGGAGCACUGUUCCAAGGAGGAAGAUCAGGGUGGCCUAGGAGACACCCGAGGCCCUUUGAAUUGUUGUCGUUGUUCAGUCACUAAGUCAUUUCUGACUUCUUGAUCCCAUGGAUGGCAGCCUGCCAGGCCUCCCUGUCCGUCACCACCUCCUGGAGCUUGCUCAAACUCAUGUCCAUCGAGUCGGUGAUGCCAUCCAACCAUCUCAUCCUCUGUCGUCCCCUUCUCUUGUCCUCAAUCUUUCCCGGCAUCGAGGUCUUUUCCAAUGAGUCAGCUCCAAAGUAUUGGAGCAUCAGUCCUUCCAAUGAACAUUCAGGAUUGCUUUCCUUUAGGAUUGACUGGUUUGAUCUUGCUUUGAAUAUUUGAAAUUAAAAAUCCCUGGCUUAAGUCACUUCCUUGGUUAGUGGUGGAUAAAGUGUUCUCUGUUCAUUUCACUCGACCUGUCAGCAGCAGCCCCGGGACACCUUUGGGUGUGGUUUGGUGGUGUCAGGGCACACAGAUUUCAAGAACCUGUCAGGGAAGUGCAGCCUUCGUGACCCCUUCCCUGCUCCAUCCCCACACCCUCUCCCUCCCUGGAUGCUGACUCAGGACAAACACCAUGGCACCUUGCUUGUCGUGCCCAAGUGCCAUGUCCAGUCCAAUCCUGGGGCCUGGCGGCCCAGCUUCCAGUCUCCCUGGAUCCUCCAACGCCAGGAGUUUUCCAUGAUCUCUUCCAUCAUCCUGUCUCUCCCUCCUCUCUCUGGUCCAGCUCACCUCGCUGCUCCCCACCCGGGGCUCACUUCCCGUCCUGAGCCGCCAUCCCUACGCCUUUGGGGGAGUACAGGAGAGCUCCUUGCACUUUGCCUCCAAACAGUCUUUUGAGAUUCACCUGUGCAGCCUGCUCUGUUUCAGAGGUGGGUGAGGAGUCGGGGGGCUCAGAAGUCAGCUGGGAAGCGCCAGGGACCCAGACCAGCCUCCAGCUCUGAGCCACGGGGCGGCUGUGCCAUACACAGUGUGGGCCAAGAAGACUCCAUCCAGAUGUGUGUGCUGAACGCCAUCGAGCGAGGGGGCGAGAAGAAAGUCAGGACACGUGUACUGAUGCCCCCAGCCAUCCCGCACGGGGCUGGGGGAGCUGCCAACGGGGAUCCUCAAGGUCGGGAUGUGGCUUUGCUGGAUGGAACCCACCUUCAGCCCACUCUCCCGUCAGCCCACCCGGGCCGCUGAGCCCCAUAAGCAGCUGGAAAUGAGCCUGCAAGCCCACCCCAUUUGUCGGCCUACUUUUUUUUUUUUUAAGAAUUAUUGUAGUAAAAUAUACAUAACAAGGAACUUACCAUCUAAACCACGUUUAAGUGUACAUUCCAGCGGCGUUAAGUACAUUAUGCAGCUAUCACCACCACCCUCUCCAGAACGUUUCAUCUUCCCAAGUGGAAACUCUGUGCUCCGUGCCAGCCCCAGUCCCUGACCCCCACCAUCUACUUUCUGCCUCUAAGGAUUUGACUCCUCUAGGGACCUCAGAGAAGUGGAAAACUACAGGAUUUGCCUGUGGUGACUGGCUUACUCCCCUUGGCACGAUGUCCUUGAAGCCCAUCCGUGUUGUAUCUCAUGAAAGGGAAAGUGUUAGUCACUCAGUCGUAUCCGACUCUUUGCCACCCCACACUGUAGCCCACCAGGCUCCUCUGUCCAUGGGAUUUUCCAGGCAAGAAUACUGGAGUGGGUUGCCAUUUCCAUCUCCAGGGCAUCUUCCCAACCCUGGGAUCGAACCUGGGACCCCUGCAUUGCGGGCAGAUUCUUUACCAUCUGAGCCGCCAGGGAAGACCCUGUUGCAUCUCAUGACAAGCCUCUAUAAGUCUGACUCACACUCCACAGUAACGAUGCCCCACAAUUUCUUUAUCCGUCAUCCAUCAAUGGAUGUUGGGGUGCUGCUUCUUUUUGGCUCUUGUGAAUAAUUCUGCUGUGAACACCAGCGUCCAAAUAUCUGUUUGAGUCUCUACUUUUACCUCUUUUUGGGUGUAUGCCCCUGAGCAGAAUUGCUGGAUGAUAAAGAAUUAUAUGUUUGAUUUUUUGAAGAUCUGCCGUACCUUUUCCCUCGUGACCAGGAAUACAUCUUGGGAGUUGGAGCUGACAUGGUGUGGUGGUGAACUGAAUUCAGGAAAAGGAAGUGUUAAAGAUGCCUCGGAGUUUUUUUGUUUUGUCUUGUUUUGUUUUAUGGCCGCCAACCAGAGCUCGUACUUGGCACCAGCAGUGAUAGCUCCAAGUCUUAACCACUGGAUUGUUGGGGAAUUUCCAGCCUCAGAUUUUUUUUUUAAUGUUUAUUUAUUUAUUUUUGGCUGUGUUGAGUCUUAGUUGUGACACACAGGGUCUUCCUUGUGGCCUGCGGGAUCUUUCGUUGUGGUGCGCGGGCUUCUCUCUAGUUGGGACUCAUGGGUUUAACUGCCCUGUAGCAUGUGGGGUCUUGCGCUUCCCUGGGGCUCAGUGGUAAAGAAUCUUUCUGCCAGUGCAGGAGAUGUGGGUUUAAUCCCUCGAUCGGGAAGACCCCUUGCAGAAGGAAAUGGCAAUCCACUCCAGUAUUCUUGCCUGGGAAAUCCCAUGGACAGAGGAGCCUGGAGGGCUACAGUCCAUGGGGUUGCAGAAGAGUCAGACACAACUUAGCAACUAAACAGCAAUGAUGACCUCUGGGACCUUAGUUCUGCAGCCACGGACUGAACCCCCGUCCCCUGCAUCGGAAGGUGGAUUCUGAACCCCUAGACCACCAGGGAAGUCUCAGCCUUGGACCUUCAGCUUCAGGAAUAGUUGACAUAUAAUUGAGCGAUCGAUCCCUGCGUCGGAAGAGCCCCCAGAGAAGGAAAUGGCAACCCACUCCAGUUUUCUUGCCUGGAGAAUUCUGUGGACAGAAGAGCCUGGCGGGCUACAGUCCAUGGGGUCCCAAAGAGUCGGACAUGACUUAGCGACUAAAAGCCAUCAACAACAAGCUACACGCACUCAAAGUGUGCUGUUGGAUCGUAGACUCUGGUUUCUCUUCAGAUCGUAUAAAUCUUUCGCCUUUCACUGUGAUUUUAAUGGACAUUUCUCUGAUGACGAAUGAGGAACAUUUUUCAUAAACUUUUUUUUGCCAUCUCUAUAUCUUCUUUAAUGAAGUCAAGUGUGUUCAGAUCAUACAUAUAUGUAUUGGGUUGGCCAAAGGUUUUUCUGUAAGAUUUUACUGCAAAACCUGAAUGGAAAACAAACAAACAAAAAAAAAAAAACCUGAAUGAGGUUUUUGGCUAACCCUAUGUAUAGAAUUGAUGCCUUCAAACUGUGGUGCUGGAGAAGACUCCUGAGAGUCUCUUGGACCGCAAGGAGAUCAAAACCAUCAAUCUUAAGGGAAAUCAACCCUGAAUACUCGUUGGAAGGACUGAUGCUAAAGUUGAAACUCCAGUGUUUUGGUCAUCUGAUGUGAAAAGCUGACUCUUUAGAAAAGUCCUCAAUCCUGGGAAGGAUUGAGGGCAGAAGGAAGAGGGUGUCAGAGGAUGAGAUGGCUGGAUGGCACCACCAAGGCAAUGGACAUGAACUUGGGCAAACUUUGGGAGAUGGUGAAGGACAGGGAGGCCUGGUGUGCUGCAGUCCUUGGGGUCACAAAGAGCCGGACACGACUGGGGGACUGAACUGCAACAAUAUAAAUGUGUGUGUUUUCAUACAAUUGGGUUUUAUAUGCAGCUCCUUUAUCAGAUAUGUGACUUGGAAAUAAUUUUUUCCUGGCUGAUUUGUCUUUUUUAUUCUCCUAACUGUCAUUAACAGAGCAGAAGUUGCUCAUUUUGAUUAAAUCCAAUUUAUGAAUUUCUCUUUUCUGGAUAUGGCUUUUGGUGUUGUAUCUAAGAAAUCUUUACCUAAUCCAAGGCCAUAAAAGUUGUAUUUUUUUUCCUAAAUGUUUUAUAGUUUCAGCCCUUAUAGCUUUGUCUAUGAUCCAUUGCAGUUAAUGUUUGUAUGUGGAAUGAAGUUCAUUAUUUCUGUGUACAGAUUGCCAAUCUGUACACAAGAAAAUAAAGUCUGUCACUGCUUCCACUUUUUCCCCUCCUUUUUGCCAUGAGGUGGUGGGACCACAUGCCAAGAUCUUAGUUUUUUGAGUGUUGAGUUUCAAGCUAGCUUUCCACUCUCCUCUGUCAUCCUCAUCAAGAGGCUCUUUAGCUUCUCUUUGCUUUCUGCCAUUAGAGUGGUAUCAUCUACAUAUCUGAGGUUGUUGAUAAUAACAAUUGAUUUUUAUAUAUUGACCUUGUAUCCUGCAGUUUUGCUAAACUCACCUGCUCACUUGUUAGUUCUAACACAUUUUGUUUUUUUUUUAAAUAGAUUCCAUCAGAUUUUCUACAGAGAUGAACAUGUAGUAUGGGAAUAAAGACAGAUCUGCUUUUUCCUUUCCAAUCUGGAUGCAUUUCUUUUCUUUUUCUUUUUUUUUUAAAGCAGCUUUAUAGAGGUAAAGCAGACAUGUGACAAACAACACAUUAAUUUAGAAAGUAUAGAAUUUAACAACUUUUGAUGUAUACACCUGCAAAACCCAUCAUGACAAUUAUGAAAAUGAAUGUAACUCUCACCCCCAGAGAGUCCUGUGCCCAUUCGCAGCUUCUCUCUGCCGUGCUCUCCCCACCACCAUCCCCAGGCAACCGCUGUUCUGGCUUCUGGCACUACAGAUCGAUUUGCAUUUCCUAGAAUCAUAUGUAAAUGGAAUCUUCCAGGAAGUACUUGCUUCUAUCUGGAUUUUUCCAUGCCACAUGAUUUGUUUUAAACUAUGACUGUAAGCUGAAUUAAUCUAGUUCUCUCAGACACACAAGACGGAACAGAAGACUCUCAAGUACAACAAAAUGUUCCUAUCCACUUGAAAAUCUUGUCCAUCCAUUAAAUCAAACCCAAAUUGGGCAUAUCAAGUUCCCUUAAGCAUUUAAAAUGUGGGACACAUAGAGUUUAUACAAAAUUAUAUAAUACAGUGUUACCAAAUUCAUUGUAAACUUGUAUAAGCUCAAGUUUUUGUUUUGUUUUUUAUUUUUAUUUUUUUAUUGAGGUUUAGUUGAUUUACAAUAUUGUGCUGUUUCAGGUGUAUAGGAAAGUGAUUCAUUAUUUUAUAUAUUUAUACAUAUAUAUAUAUAUAUAUUCUUUUUCAGAUUCCUUUUCCUUAUAGGUUAUUAUAUAAUAUUGAGUAAAUCUCUGUGCUAUACAACCAGUUCUUGUUGGGUAUCUAUCUUAUAUAUAAUAGUGUGUAUAUGUUAAUCCCAAACUUCUAAUUUAUCCCUCUCCCCCCUUUUUCCUUUUGAUAACCAUCAGCUUGUUUUCUGUCUGUGGAUCUAUUUCUACUCAUUUGGACCUUUUUUUUUUUUUUUAAGAUUCCACAUAUAAGUGAUACCAUAUGAUAUUUGUCUUUUUCUGUCCUUUUUCUGUCCUGUACUUCACUUAGUAUGAUAAUAUCUAGGUAUCCAUGUUGCGGCAAGUGGCAUUACUUCACUCCUAUGGUUGAGUAACGCUCCACUGUAUAUAUUGAUUUUUACACACCACACCUUCUUUUUCCAUUCAUCUCUUGAUGGUCAUUUAGGUUGCUUCCGUGUCUUGGCUAUAUGUGUGUGACUAGAAUUUUCAUCUUCAUACCAUUUUCAUCUUCAUACCUAGUCAAAGAAAACAGAGGUGUCUAUCCUUGACCAAAUGCAGUUCUUUGGUGAAUGUUCCUGGACUGCACCCGAUGUGUAUAGUUUUCUUAGUCCAACACUUGGGAGCCCCUCAGGCCGCUGCAACAUGAGACUUGGGCGUCUGAGACCCAGCAGUGUGGUGGCUGUGGGUGGGGGCUCAUUCAGGAUGCUGUAGUUCACUCACACAGUUGCGUCUGACCCUUUGCAACCCCAUGGACUGCAGCACGCCAGCGUGGGGCUUGCUAAACCCACAGCCUCCAGCCAAGGUUUUGUCAGCACACGUGAGGCAACUUCCUUCAAACGUGCAGUUCCCUGGAGUGCAGCCUCCUUGCAGGGCCUCCCAGGCCUGACUGUUUCUGUUGCAGGUAACCCUGGUGCGCGCUCCUACCGCACUGGGGAUUCGGGUGUUUAGGAGGCUGGGAAUCCCCUCGGCAAGGGACGCGAGACCUUUGUGUCUCACAGUCCUCUGUCUCGUCACACACCCUGCUGGUCAGUUCACGCCAUUGCACCUGCUUCUCCGGAGCGUACGAGUGGUCCUGGCCCCCUGGGGCCUGCCAGUGAGCAGGGGCACCCAGGCAGGUGCCCAGGGACUGCAGGGCGAGGCUCAGUGGGAUUACGGCUCCAGGAGAGGUUCCAGCCCACCUUCCCCGCGAGCGGAAAGGAGGGAGAGGCCGUCCCCGGCCAGUGCCCGACUUUGGCCU